RNAcentral lists this long non-coding RNA (362 nucleotides) under Populus trichocarpa (black cottonwood). RNAcentral's name for it is "long non-coding RNA (PTRI_LNC001334)". The record is from RNAcentral. Lineage: Eukaryota; Viridiplantae; Streptophyta; Magnoliopsida; Malpighiales; Salicaceae.
GGUAGUGAUGAUGAGGUGGUGGUGGGAGAGGAAGAUGAGUUGACCGAAAGCAAGGAUUCUGUCAAUGGCACAUCCACUUCCAACACAAACCUCAUCGAUCAAUUUCCUGGGAGUGGUCUGGUUUCGCAAAGCGGUGAUGCAAAUGCCCCUGAUACAAGCUUUUUCAAAUAUGAGACAUCAGUCAAAGAAGAAUUGUUUGGAGAUAGGCCUUUACCUGAAUGGGUAGGGUGGGGAGAGUCAUCAGAUUUGCAAGCAGGGGGGUCAACUGUGAAUCCAUUUGAAGAUCAUGACAACUCUGAUGACUCUCUUUCCAGCCAAGCGAAAACAGUAACACCUGGUGCCAGUUCCCCAUCAAGUGGGGA